This 72-nucleotide transfer RNA is filed under the name Crassvirales sp. RNAcentral's name for it is "tRNA-Ile". It matches the Rfam family "tRNA". Rfam says of the family: Transfer RNA (tRNA) molecules are approximately 80 nucleotides in length. Their secondary structure includes four short double-helical elements and three loops (D, anti-codon, and T loops). Lineage: Duplodnaviria; Heunggongvirae; Uroviricota; Caudoviricetes; Crassvirales. The record is from RNAcentral.
UGGCAUAUCUUCUAAAGGUUAGGAAACUGCUCUGAUAAGGCAGUAAUCUUGGUUCAAUUCCAAGUAUGCCAA